AUUGAACGCUGGCGGCACGCCUAACACAUGCAAGUCGAACGGCAGCACGGAGAGUAGCAAUACUUUUGGGUGGCGAGUGGCGGACGGGUGAGUAACGCGUAGGAAUCUACCCUAGAGAUGAGGAUAACUUGGGGAAACUCAAGCUAAUACUGAAUACGCCCUUAGGGGUAAAGGUUGCGCAAGCAGCCGCUUUAGGAUGAGCCUGCGUUAGAUUAGCUAGUUGGUGGGGUAAAGGCCUACCAAGGCGACGAUCUAUAGCUGUUCUGAGAGGAAGAUCAGCCACACUGGGACUGAGACACGGCCCAGACUCCUACGGGAGGCAGCAGUGGGGAAUCUUGGACAAUGGGGGCAACCCUGAUCCAGCGAUGCCGCGUGUGUGAAGAAGGCCUUAGGGUUGUAAAGCUCUUUCAGGUGGAAAGAAAGCGGAUGAGUUAAUACCUUGUCCGGAUGACGGUACCACCAGAAGAAGCACCGGCUAACUACGUGCCAGCA
This 492-nucleotide ribosomal RNA is filed under the name uncultured bacterium. RNAcentral's name for it is "bacterial SSU rRNA". It matches the Rfam family "Bacterial small subunit ribosomal RNA", at positions 30 to 513 of the family's 1533-position model. The record is from RNAcentral.